UAUCUCUGUAGAGUCUGCAUAUCAAUAAGCGGAGGAAAAGAAACUAACUAGGAUUCCCUCAGUAACGGCGAGUGAAGCGGGAAGAGCUCAAAUUUGAAAUCUUCAAGGUUCUACCUUGACGAAUUGUAGUUUAAAGAAGUGUUUUCUGUUGGAGUUUUGGUAAAAGUUCUUUGGAAUAGGACAUCAUAGAGGGUGAGAAUCCCGUAUUUGACCAUUAUUUCCAGCUUUGUGAUACACUUUCAAAGAGUCGGAUUGUUUGGGAAUGCAGUCCAAAAUGGGUGGUAAAUUUCAUCUAAAGCUAAAUACUGGCGAGAGACCGAUAGCGAACAAGUACCGUGAGGGAAAGAUGAAAAGAACUUUGAAAAGAGAGUUAAACAGUACGUGAAAUUGUCAAAAGGGAAGCGUUUGACACCAGUGUUGUUUUCUCGAAAAUCAAUUAAAAAAAGUUGGAUUUUGUAUUGUUAUGACCUUUAUCAGCUUACUGUACUCUUUUCUUGUCUUUUUUAAUGCACUUUUCGUUUAACAAGUCAACAUCAAUUUCUUUUGUUGUAAAAGAGGUCAUUGGAAGGUGGCUUUCACUUCGGUGAAAGUGUUUAUAGCCUUUGGCUUCUACAAUCGGAGAGAUUGAGGUCUGCAGCGUAGAUCCUUCGGGGCUAGAUACGUAGAUGCUAAGUUAUAGUUUUUUAUAGACAACUUGUUGACUAUAAUUAAUCAUGUAGCUUACUCGUUUGCGCUAUUUUACCUACGCUUAGGAUGUUGACGAUCAGCUGAGCGCG
This 776-nucleotide ribosomal RNA is filed under the name uncultured Neocallimastigales. RNAcentral's name for it is "partial large subunit ribosomal RNA". It matches the Rfam family "Eukaryotic large subunit ribosomal RNA", at positions 24 to 633 of the family's 3401-position model. Lineage: Eukaryota; Fungi; Neocallimastigomycota; Neocallimastigomycetes; Neocallimastigales. The record is from RNAcentral.